RNAcentral lists this small nuclear RNA (18 nucleotides) under Arabidopsis thaliana (thale cress). Its description in RNAcentral is "snRNA_09851". Lineage: Eukaryota; Viridiplantae; Streptophyta; Magnoliopsida; Brassicales; Brassicaceae. The record is from RNAcentral.
UGGCCUCUUAGCCAGCGU